Molecule: ribosomal RNA, 134 nt
Filed under: Prochlorococcus sp.
Lineage: Bacteria; Bacillati; Cyanobacteriota; Cyanophyceae; Synechococcales; Prochlorococcaceae
Also listed under: 2 other names
Description: partial 16S ribosomal RNA
Rfam family: Bacterial small subunit ribosomal RNA
Source: RNAcentral
ACAACGGAGAGUUUGAUCCUGGCUCAGGAUGAACGCUGGCGGCGUGCUUAACACAUGCAAGUCGAACGAACCUUCGGGUUAGUGGCGGACGGGUGAGUAACGCGUGGGAAUCUGCCCUCAGGAGGGGGAUAACG